Molecule: ribosomal RNA, 836 nt
Filed under: Gibellula gamsii
Lineage: Eukaryota; Fungi; Ascomycota; Sordariomycetes; Hypocreales; Cordycipitaceae
Description: partial large subunit ribosomal RNA
Rfam family: Eukaryotic large subunit ribosomal RNA
Source: RNAcentral
AACCAACAGGGAUUGCCCCAGUAACGGCGAGUGAAGCGGCAGCAGCUCAAAUUUGAAAUCUGGCCCCCCCCGCGGGGGCCCGAGUUGUAGUUUGCAGAGGACGCUCCGGGCGAGGCGCCUUCCGAGUUCCCUGGAACGGGACGCCACAGAGGGUGAGAGCCCCGUCCGGUCGGACGCCAGGCCCGCGUGGAGCUCCUUCGACGAGUCGAGUAGUUUGGGAAUGCUGCUCAAAACGGGAGGUAUAUGUCUUCUAAAGCUAAAUACCGGCCAGAGACCGAUAGCGCACAAGUAGAGUGAUCGAAAGAUGAAAAGCACUUUGGAAAGAGGGUUAAACAGCACGUGAAAUUGUUGAAAGGGAAGCGCCCGCGACCAGACUUGGGCCCGGCAGGUCACCCGGCGUUCUCGCCGGGGCACUCUGCCGGGCGCAGGCCAGCAUCGGCUCGGCGCGGGGGACAAAGGCGGCGGGAACGUGGCUCCCCCGGGAGUGUUAUAGCCCGCCGCGUCACGCCCCGCGCCGGGCCGAGGCACGCGCGCACCGCAAGGAUGCUGGCGUAAUGGUCGUCGGCGACCCGUCUUGAAACACGGACCAAGGAGUCGUCCUCGUAUGCGAGUGUUGGGGUGCCGAAACCCCUACGCGCAAUGAAAGUGAACGCAGGUGAGAGCCCUCCGGGGCGCAUCAUCGACCGAUCCCGAAGUUCUCGGACGGAUUUGAGUAGGAGCAUACGGGGCCGGACCCGAAAGAAGGUGAACUAUGCCUGCGUAGGGUGAAGCCAGAGGAAACUCUGGUGGAGGCUCGCAGCGGUUCUGACGUGCGAAUCGAUCGUCAAACGUGGGCA